GACGAACGCUUGCGGCGUGCCUAAGAAAUGCAAGUCGAGCGAGGUUUAGCGCUGACCAAAGCUUCGGCAGAGGUCUUGCUAAGUCUAGCGGCGAACGGUCGCGUAACACGUAAGCAACCUGCCCUGAAGUGGGGGAUAGCCCGCCGAAAGGCGGAUUAAUACCGCAUGUGGAUGUUUUCUCACAUGGGAUUAUAUCUAAAGCAGCAAUGCGCUUCAGGAUGGGCUUGCGGCCUAUCAGCUAGUUGGUGGGGUAACGGCCUACCAAGGCGACGACGGGUAGCUGGUCUGAGAGGAUGGUCAGCCGGAUUGGGACUGAGAUACGGCCCAGACUCCUACGGGAGGCUG
RNAcentral lists this ribosomal RNA (345 nucleotides) under uncultured Armatimonadota bacterium. Its description in RNAcentral is "bacterial SSU rRNA". It matches the Rfam family "Bacterial small subunit ribosomal RNA", at positions 28 to 351 of the family's 1533-position model. The record is from RNAcentral. Lineage: Bacteria; Bacillati; Armatimonadota.